RNAcentral lists this RNase P RNA (347 nucleotides) under Clostridia bacterium. RNAcentral describes it as "RNase P RNA component class A". It matches the Rfam family "Bacterial RNase P class A". From Rfam's summary of the family: Ribonuclease P (RNase P) is a ubiquitous endoribonuclease, found in archaea, bacteria and eukarya as well as chloroplasts and mitochondria. The record is from RNAcentral. Lineage: Bacteria; Bacillati; Bacillota; Clostridia.
GUGGCUAACCAGAUGGUCGCUGUGCUAUUAUAAUGAUAGCAGAGAGGAAAGUCCGAGCCUUUAAAGGAAGUAAUGCCGGUUAACUGCCGGUGGAGGCAACUCCAAGGAAAGUGCAACAGAAAAUAACUACCAUGUAUUCAUGGAAAAGGUGAAAAGGUGGGGUAAGAGCCCACCGCAAAUCGGGAGACCGAUUUGGUCAAUGCAAACCCCAUUUAAGGCAAGAUUAAGUUAUCACAAAUGCGUGUCCUUUCGCGUGAUACAAAAAUAUCGCUCGAUCUUGUUAGAAAUAACAAGGCUAGAUAGAUGACCAUUUAAUACAGAACUCGGCUUAUAGAUUAACCACAAAC